Molecule: small nucleolar RNA, 107 nt
Organism: Gossypium arboreum
Lineage: Eukaryota; Viridiplantae; Streptophyta; Magnoliopsida; Malvales; Malvaceae
Rfam family: Plant small nucleolar RNA R71
About the family: R71 is a member of the C/D box family of snoRNAs containing the C (UGAUGA) and D (CUGA) box motifs.
Source: Rfam
AAUCCAUGGUGAGGGCACCUUCUCAAUAAAUCCUUAUACUUCUCCCAUGCAUCAUAUAAGGUCUCUAAAUCCAUUUGUUUGAAGGAAGAGAUAUCAUUCCUCAGCUU